CGAUCGGUAGACGCUACGGACUUAAUAAUUUGAGCUUUAGUAGAAAAACUUACUAAAUGCUAGCUUUCAGAUUCAGGGAAACUUAAGUUGAAAAAAGUAUAAGCGAUCCUGAGCCAAAUUUUAUUUCAAAAACAAAAAUAAGAUAGGUGCAGAGACUCAAUGGAGGCUAUCCUAACGCAAAAUUUUUUAAGAUUUAUUUAAUUGAAUUUUCUGAGUUAAGAAAAAAAUUUGGUUAAAUCUUUUUUUCAAAUAAGAAGCGAGGAUAAAGAUAGAGUCCAAUUUUACAUGUUAAUUUUAGCAAUAAUUUAAAUUGUAGUAAAAAGAAAAUCCGUUGGCUUUAUUGACCGUGAGGGUUCAAGUCCCUCUACCCCCAAAACUAGAAAAUUUUUUAUUGACAUAAGCUUUCAAUUUAUGUUAGGAUAUGCUAAAUAAAAAAAAAGGCCGGAAUAGCUCAGUUGGUAGAGCAGAGGACUGAAAAUCCUCGUGUCAC
Molecule: non-coding RNA, 490 nt
Filed under: Blindia acuta
Lineage: Eukaryota; Viridiplantae; Streptophyta; Bryopsida; Grimmiales; Seligeriaceae
Description: partial contains tRNA-Leu, trnL-trnF intergenic spacer, and tRNA-Phe
Rfam family: Group I catalytic intron (bases 14-298)
About the family: Group I catalytic introns are large self-splicing ribozymes. They catalyse their own excision from mRNA, tRNA and rRNA precursors in a wide range of organisms.
Source: RNAcentral